CGGAGCUCCGCGCCUCGACCCCCAGAUCGCCCCUCGACUUUCGGUCCCUAGGUCGCUCGGUGUCCCGCACCCCACGACCUCGCGCGCUCCCAAGUCCCUGUGCCCGCUCUUCUAACCCCACAACCCCGUCGCAGUCCUCCGCCCUUUCUCGCUCUCCAUCUGUCAGUAGGUCUGUCUGUCUGCCUCCCCACCCUCCUUUUCCUUCCUCUCACCCGCUCUGCCGGCUUGUUCGCUAGCUCGACUUGGCAGAGCAACUUCGCAGGAAAAUCCCAGAAACCUUUGCAGAAAGCUUACAAUGAAAUUUAAGAAGUUCUACGAUUUCGGCGCCAUUUUCGAGUGGAGUGAGAGGUUGUUUAGCUUUUCCAGUAUGAAACUCGACAUUGGAAAAGUUUGGCUCGAAGGUGCGGAGGACGUGUACAUCGUGCGUUUUGGGUGUGGGGGCGCACACAUCUGCGACAUUGAAAGACAAAACGUUCUCAACUGGGAAGAGAGGAAGAGGCGUAUUCUUUGGCUCUUAAAUCAUUUGGCCAAACACAUCGCAGUUCUGAAGGGGGUGGGGCCAUGGCAACUCUAAAGUAUUGAUUCUUUGUCUAUUGUAUCAGCGAAUGACCCUCUCCAGAAGUGACCAGACGCUUCUUUGUGUUCUUCUUUAGGCGACCACCGAUGGUUUUUUUCCUCCAUUCCGUGUCCAUGAGAAAAUGAUUUGUAAUAUAGCCAAGACAAGCUGGGAUUUAGAAACUCGUUCCAACUUAAGGAGUGGGGCUAUUAUUAUUAAUGACUUUAUUUAUCAUGACCUUAUGGCUUUAUUAUCAGUGCAUUUGUUAGCGCUGGAUCACAAUCUGUUGUGUUAGGAAUUUUGUACUUAGUUUAAUUACAUACUCUGUAUAUUUAAUUAAUUAGUUAAUUAAUUAGUAGGACCCAGCAUUCAUUGUAGUAGUUUUGAAAAUCUGACAUAAUUUUAAAUGAAAAUAAGGAAAUUUGGCGACAUUAAAUCUUUGUUUAUGUAUACAGAAUGUACUUUUACUUUCAAAGGCACUAUAGUUUUAUUGUUUUAAUUAUUAGGUUUGUGGUUAAGUAGUGAAGGAUUUUUUUGGUUUGUGCUUUCUUGAAUGUUUUGUUUAAGCAAAAGGAAAUGAAUGAAUGUAAUUUAUUGCUCCGGUGUCCAUUUUGAAAAUCAAGAGGGGGGGGGCCUGAACAGUGCCGGCCAUUUCAAGAAAUGAGUUUCUGUGGAGUUGCUUGAGAAGGAGCCAUUUUAACAUCAAGUACUUAAAGUUGUUGAUUUGUGAUUUGAUAAGUGACAUUGAUAAAUGUCAAUUAUUUAUAAAGUAGUUUGAGUAACCAGCAAUGUAUGAAGACAUCUAGGGGUUUCAAUCUAGAACAUUCUCAUGCUUUGUCCUUAUAACUAAUGGCAGACAAGGUGUUUACUGUUAGAAUGGAGGAAACUACUAGCCAUAAGUUAAAAGCAACUGGUCACCCAGAGGGUUUUUUUAAAUCAAAAGUUCCUUACAUUGAUUCCAAUAAAUGACCCCAAACUGGGGACAAUAAAUGACACUUAUACAAUGCAGCAGGAAGUUUCACCGAGACUUUGGAGCUGGCAAGAGUGAUCCAGAUGUUACCAAAUUGUCUCAAUUUAAUUAAUCUCACUUUUCAUCUACUUUCUGAGGCUUUUCCCUCAAACCAGAGGAAGAGCCCCGGGGUGCAUUGAAGGCGCCCACCCAUCCAGAAGGAUCCAACCCGCGCCAUCCGGCUUCUUCCAGUGGGUGCCUGCAGGACUCAGUGACCACUACUACAUCAACAAUCUUGGGGAGAUGAACACAGAAGACUCCUUUCAAGAAAGCACCUUUGUUCCAGUUGGCAUGUUAACUUGCUUUUCCCACCAAAUGAGUCAGUCAUGAGAGGAGCAUCAAUUGACUUGAACAGAUGUGUGUCAAUGUUACUUGGAAAAACUAGAUGCCAAUCACCAGGGCCACAGAAAAAGGUAGUGGUUGUAACUCUAAAGCAUUUACUCGUACACACAGACAAGGACAAAAGUAGAAUCCUAAACAGGGAAACAUUUGGAUGUACUCCAGUGCUGGGAGACUAAAUAAUUGUAUGUUGCUUUUGAUUUCCAUUAACAUGGGCAACUAUCCAAUUAAACAAACACCCAAUAAGGACUCUGCAGUACACAUUAUUUUGCUGAGUAAACUAAAACACCAUAACCUGUCAAUCCAUCGAGGAGAGGAGAUGGGAAUAGCAAGGGACUGGGUUUGUUCCUUGAAUCCUGGGGAAAACAUGAUUCUACAAGACAGAAGUUAAUUGACAGGCAGCUUUCCUGAGAGACUGUGUAGGAUGAAAAAUACAAAUAAGAUUCAAAAAGUAUGUUUGAGGAAGAACAAUGCAUGCGUAUGAUAAGAGAUUGGAGGACUCGAACUAGGGGCUAUACCAAGUUGACAUUAAUUUCUAGAGAUCUGUUUUCCCAUUGGCCAGAAGCAUGUCUCAAGAUCCCAGAAGUUUAUAUGUUCAUCUUUAUUUAGAGUUUAUUGCAUAACUCUUAAACGAAACCCAGUACGUAUACACCAAUCAUGCCAAAUAUGUAUCUCCCUGGCCCAGUCAGUACAGCUUGCCUAUGACCAUCCAUUAGUAUCUGUUCACCAAGCUAGGACACCCUGGCUCUAUCCUAAUAUUUCACCCAUCUGCUUCCCUUCCUGGCUUUACAAUUGAUCUCAGGUUCAAAAGGGCUAGAGCCUUAAGCUGCGUCAUUAGGGAGGAGCCUCUAUAGACUUCCACUCCUGUGCUCCCUCAGUCUUGGAGCACUCCCCUUAAGCGCUUGAGCUCUGUCAUCUGAGCAACUGGUGGGAACUGAAGAGGGGGCUGGGAAUACUGCUUGCUUUGCAGCCUGAAUUUCCUGAGGCAGUGCCCUUGCUGGGCUUUUGCCACCCCUCCCCCACCUCCACUCUGCUGAGGGAAAGCCAGCUUUUUGUCCCCUAGAAACAAAAUCUUUGCAAGCCUCAUCUCAGCCCUUGCUGUUAUUUCCUUUGUUCACCUAUUUUCCCAACUGCUCUCGUAGAUUUGUUGUUUGCAAUAACUUUGUGAUAAAUAAGGCAGAAAAGGUUUCCAGAAACCCGAGGAUUCGGAGGUUGAAGGAUGUAUGGGAGACUUCCUGCUGUGCCUACACCUUAGUGACUACACCAGAAAAUGGAGCCAACUAGUAUGUUUGGUUAGAAAAGGUCUAGGGAAAACUGCCUAGUUCUAAAAUGAGUGAGAGCCUAACUGCUAAUAGAGCCCCAAGAUUGCCCUGAGAAUGAAGUAAUGACUAUAAGCUACCUACCCAUGCACAAUUCAGUGUGUGCAGCCUCAACAGUUUUCAAGCGAAUUCGCUUGAAAUCUUUUCUCCUUUCUAUGCAUUCAACUAAACUAAGGGAGUCAACCAUAGGGAAUUAAUUUAGCGGAGUCCUCAAUAGAACCUUUUUAGCCAUUACAAAUAAACAUUAUAAAAACUGCACAGAAACUUAGAAAAAUGCUUAAGAUAACAGGUUUUUAAAUAUCAAGGCCACAGAAUUACACAGGUUGUACUGGCUGAAAGUAGAAGCAGAAACUGGAGGGACAUUGCAAAACAAGAAGACUCAUUUACCACUAGAAUUACACCCAAAGUUUUGUUUUGGUUUUCUUUCUUUAGUUUUGUUGUUGUUUUGCUUUGUUGUGUUUUGGUUUUUGUUGUUGUUGUUGUUGAAUUGUGAAAUGUAACUCUCUGAAAAGUCUUUAAGGGUCCUGGGAAAUACAGAAACUUCAGGUUCUGCAUGCAAGGAUCUCAGGCGUCUCGGGGAUCAUCAUGUCACGAGAUACACUGUGCCCUUGUGACAGAUUGAUAACUGAAAGGUCUGGGAACCACUCAUCUUCCUAAGACCAGGUGGGGUGAGUAUUACAAGAGAUGACAAGUGGGCCUGAUCAAAGAGGAAAGGGGUUGCCAUGGAGUGGGAGAGGGUAGGAGUUGUAUUUGCAUACAACUUUAAUGAAAGUUUUAUUAAUUUGCAUUUCUAUUCAGUCCACUGAAGCCUAGACAGGGUAUAUGAUUUUACACACACACACACACACACACACACACACACACACACACACACACACACAUCAUGAUACACACAUGUAUAGCAUGAUAUAUAUGUUAAAAUAUUAAAACAAGUUUUUUUUGUUCAAACCAACAAGAAAAACACUAGCUGCACGCAUUAGAAACACAAGACCAACUGUAAUAUGUUGAGUCAUACAAGUGGCUAUAAAGAAAUAUACAAGCCACGGAACCAGAAAGUCAAAUUUUUAAAGAAUGCUCUCUUAUUAUGUUUAUUGCUAUUUAUUUAUUUACUUGCUUAUUUUUGAGACAAGGUCUUAAGUAGUCCAGAUUGGGGUGGAGCUAAAGCUCACAUUGAAUUCCUCAUUCUCCUGAUUCCACUUCCCAAGUUUUGGGAUUAUAGGUGACUAUAUAUUUUUAUUUUUGAGACAAGCUCUAACUAAUUUGCUCACAAACACUUUAAAGUUACUCUGUAGGCCAGGCAGAAUUUGAAUCUGUCGUUCAUUUGCCUCAGCGUCCUACAUCACUGUGAUUACAGGCCUUCCUUUCACUCAGGAAUUUUGAGGAUAAAAUUAGGACUAUCCUGAAUGAUUGACUAACAGUAAAGGGUUGCAAAAACAAAACAGGCUUUUCUAAGACAAUGGAAUAACAUGCUUUAAUUGAAAUUGAUAUUUCUGAAAAUAAUUUUGUGACACAAGGAUAUGUCACAAACACUGAUAAAAUGUUAAGUGAUAAACAUGCAAAAUAUUUUUCUUCUCUGUAUUCUCAUUUUUACAUGCAUAGGAUCAAUAAGGCUAAGAGGAAAGACAUCAAGAUAUUAUAGUUAUCUCUGAGCUGUGCUUUAAUGUUAUUGAGCAAAGAUGCUGGGGAUUGGGGGUGUGGUUGAAUGAUAGAGAAAGGAGAGAGGGAAACCAAGAUGCUGAACUGUUUUUGCGAUGUGUUCCUAAUAUGUAUUAUUAGUAUAUUGGGGACAUUUUGCAUUCAUGGUUCUGCAUCAAUCAUAUGGGCUGAAGACAGUUACCUCCAAGCUGUGGUACCACCAGUGACAAAAGAAAGAUGCUGAACUGUUUUUGCGAUGUGUUCCUAAUAUGUACUACAAUUAUAUUGGGAACAUUUUGCAUAAAUAGUUUUGUAUCGAUAUAUAAGCAAAAGUCUGGAAGAAAGAAGUGGCACAUCUAACCAUAAUUAAUUAUGGUUUUGCUUUUAUAGCAGGAAUAAGAUGCAGAAUUAUUUUUGCAGUAUGUUCCUGAAUACAUAAUAUAAGCGUAUUGGGAACAUUUUGCAUAUGUAAUUUUGUAUCAAUAUAUGGGGGAAGGAAACAUGACAAACUUUAGGAAGAAACAUGACAAAACUUCAACAGCACUUAUGUCUCUGCUAUUGCAGGUGAUGUUUGUUUUUCUCUAUAUUUUUAUUGUUUUUCCAAAUAUUAUAUAAACAGAGUGUUUUUCUUUUAUGGCCAUAAUAAAACUUAUUUUAUUUUAUCUUAGUAUACAAGAGUCUACAUUGUUUUCUUUGGGGGGAGUAGUUGAAACAGGGUCUCUCCCAUUGCAACCCUGGCUGCCCUGGAACUCACUACAUAGACCAGGCUGGACUCCAGAGAUCCGCCUGCCUCCACCUUUGAAAGUCC
This 5666-nucleotide long non-coding RNA is filed under the name Cricetulus griseus (Chinese hamster). RNAcentral describes it as "lncRNA (ENSCGRG00015039832.1)". The stretch from base 3786 to 3864 matches the Rfam family "mir-542 microRNA precursor family". Lineage: Eukaryota; Metazoa; Chordata; Mammalia; Rodentia; Cricetidae. The record is from RNAcentral.